This 467-nucleotide ribosomal RNA is filed under the name uncultured bacterium. RNAcentral describes it as "partial 16S ribosomal RNA". It matches the Rfam family "Bacterial small subunit ribosomal RNA", at positions 28 to 507 of the family's 1533-position model. The record is from RNAcentral.
GAUGAACGCUGACAGAAUGCUUAGCACAUGCAAGUCAACUUGAAUUUGGGUUUUUAACUUAGGUUUGGGUGGCGGACGGGUGAGUAACGCGUAAAGAACUUGCCUCACAGCUAGGGACAACAUUUAGAAACGAAUGCUAAUACCUAAUAUUAUGAUAAUAGGGCAUCCUAUAAUUAUGAAAGCUAUAAGCGCUGUGAGAGAGCUUUGCGUCCCAUUAGCUAGUUGGAGAGGUAACGGCUCACCAAGGCGAUGAUGGGUAGCCGGCCUGAGAGGGUGAUCGGCCACAAGGGGACUGAGACACGGCCCUUACUCCUACGGGAGGCAGCAGUGGGGAAUAUUGGACAAUGGACCAAGAGUCUGAUCCAGCAAUUCUGUGUGCACGAUGAAGUUUUUCGGAAUGUAAAGUGCUUUCAGUUGGGAAGAAAGAAAUGACGGUACCAACAGAAGAAGUGACGGCUAAAUACGUG